This 428-nucleotide ribosomal RNA is filed under the name Gemmatimonadota bacterium. Its description in RNAcentral is "Gemmatimonadetes bacterium partial 16S ribosomal RNA". It matches the Rfam family "Bacterial small subunit ribosomal RNA", at positions 355 to 776 of the family's 1533-position model. Lineage: Bacteria; Pseudomonadati; Gemmatimonadota. The record is from RNAcentral.
UAGGGAAUCUUCGGCAAUGGACGAAAGUCUGACCGAGCAACGCCGCGUGAGUGAAGAAGGUUUUCGGAUCGUAAAACUCUGUUGUUAGAGAAGAACAAGGACGUUAGUAACUGAACGUCCCCUGACGGUAUCUAACCAGAAAGCCACGGCUAACUACGUGCCAGCAGCCGCGGUAAUACGUAGGUGGCAAGCGUUGUCCGGAUGUAUUGGGCGUAAAGCGAGCGCAGGCGGUUUCUUAAGUCUGAUGUGAAAGCCCCCGGCUCAACCGGGGAGGGUCAUUGGAAACUGGGAGACUUGAGUGCAGAAGAGGAGAGUGGAAGUCCAUGUGUGCGGUGAAAUGCGUAGAUAUAUGGAGGAACACCAGUGGCGAAGGCGGCUCUCUGGUCUGUAACUGACGCUGAGGCUCGAGAGCGUGGGGAGCAAACAGG